This 89-nucleotide ribosomal RNA is filed under the name Acinetobacter baumannii. RNAcentral's name for it is "partial 23S ribosomal RNA". It matches the Rfam family "Bacterial large subunit ribosomal RNA", at positions 2837 to 2925 of the family's 2925-position model. Lineage: Bacteria; Pseudomonadati; Pseudomonadota; Gammaproteobacteria; Moraxellales; Moraxellaceae. The record is from RNAcentral. RNAcentral also lists the same sequence under 1 other name.
GUUCGAGACUAGGACGUUGAUAGGUUGGAUGUGGAAGCAUAGUGAUAUGUGAAGCUGACCAAUACUAAUUGCUCGUGAGGCUUGACUAU